This 451-nucleotide ribosomal RNA is filed under the name uncultured bacterium. RNAcentral describes it as "partial 16S ribosomal RNA". It matches the Rfam family "Bacterial small subunit ribosomal RNA", at positions 354 to 796 of the family's 1533-position model. The record is from RNAcentral.
GUGGGGAAUAUUGGACAAUGGGGGGAACCCUGAUCCAGCCAUGCCGCGUGUGUGAAGAAGGCCUUUUGGUUGUAAAGCACUUUAAGCGAGGAGGAGGCUACCGAGAUUAAUACUCUUGGAUAGUGGACGUUACUCGCAGAAUAAGCACCGGCUAACUCUGUGCCAGCAGCCGCGGUAAUACAGAGGGUGCAAGCGUUAAUCGGAUUUACUGGGCGUAAAGCGCGCGUAGGUGGCCAAUUAAGUCAAAUGUGAAAGCCCCGAGCUUAACUUGGGAAUUGCAUUCGAUACUGGUAGGCUAGAGUAUGGGAGAGGAUGGUAGAAUUCCAGGUGUAGCGGUGAAAUGCGUAGAGAUCUGGAGGAAUACCGAUGGCGAAGGCAGCCAUCUGGCCUAAUACUGACACUGAGGUGCGAAAGCAUGGGGAGCAAACAGGAUUAGAUACCCGUGUAGUCC